RNAcentral lists this microRNA (22 nucleotides) under Saccoglossus kowalevskii. RNAcentral describes it as "Sko-Mir-9-v2_3p (mature (co-guide))". Lineage: Eukaryota; Metazoa; Hemichordata; Enteropneusta; Harrimaniidae. RNAcentral also lists the same sequence under 1 other name. The record is from RNAcentral.
UAAAGCUAGGUUACCAAAGACA